Dermochelys coriacea (leatherback sea turtle) is the source of this 472-nucleotide long non-coding RNA. RefSeq lists it as uncharacterized. Lineage: Eukaryota; Metazoa; Chordata; Testudines; Dermochelyidae. The transcript is spliced from 3 exons. The record is from RefSeq and is a predicted model, not a curated record.
CGGGCUUAGCGGGCGGCCGCGGCCAGGGCUGAGGCCGCGAAGCUCUGCGGGGCCCGGCGCUCGCUGCGGUUGGUUCUUUGCCUCUUGGGUCGGGCAGCCCAAUGGCAGGUGAGGCGGAGGAUGCUGCGGAAGAGGCUCGCAAAAAGAUAUUGGUCAUCUUUCAAGGUCAGUCCACUACCCAAGCUCUACCCUCUUCGAUGCCAAAAGGAGACACCAUUCAUGGCAGAUAGUGCAGAUCUUCAUGAUAUGAUCCACCCUCUUCUGUGGUGAGGAAACUGAGGCACAGAGAGAUGAUGUGAUUUGCCCAAGGGUGCACAGUCAGACAGUGACAGAACCGGCCUCAGAACCCACAAGUUCCUGGCAUCCUGUCUGAUGUUUCAUGCACUACUCAAUACUGUCACUCAAUAAAAUGUCCUUUCCAUGAGCAAUAGAUACCUAUGCACACACCAUGAAUGUAUCUCCAGGGACAUAG